This 1074-nucleotide long non-coding RNA is filed under the name Oncorhynchus mykiss (rainbow trout). RNAcentral's name for it is "lncRNA (ENSOMYG00000055201.1)". Lineage: Eukaryota; Metazoa; Chordata; Actinopteri; Salmoniformes; Salmonidae. The record is from RNAcentral.
AUGCAGAGUUGUAUACCUGCAUCUGAUGAUGUUGUGAGCUUCAUUUUUUUACAGUUUGACAAUGUGUCGACACAGCAUCACAGCAUCACAUCAGUGUGUCUACACAUCAGCGUGUCUACACAGCAUCACAGCAUGUAUCAGUGUGGCUACACAGCAUCACAGCAUCACAGCAUGUAUCAGUGUGUCUACACAUCAUGUAUCAGUGUGUCUACACAGCAUCACAGCAUGUAUCAGUGUGUCAUCACAGCAUGUAUCAAUGUGUCUACACAGCAUGUAUCAGUGUGUCUACACAGCAUCACAGCAUGUAUCAAUGUGUCUACACAGCAUCACAGCAUGUAUCAAUGUGUCUACACAGCAUCACGGCAUCACAGCAUGUAUCAGUGUGUCUACACAGCAUCACAGCAUGUAUCAAUGUGUCUACACAGCAUCACAGCAUGUAUCAAUGUGUCUACACAGCAUCACAGCAUGUAUCAAUGUGUCUACACAGCAUCACAGCAUGUAUCAAUGUGUCUACACAGCAUCACGGCAUCACGGCAUGUAUCAGUGUGUCAUCACAGCAUGUAUCAAUGUGUCUACACAGCAUGUAUCAGUGUGUCUACACAUCAGUGUGUCUACACAGCAUCACAGCAUGUAUCAGUGUGUCUACACAGCAUCACAUCAGUGUGUCUACACAGCAUCACAGCAUGUAUCAGUGUGUCUACACAGCAUCACAGCAUGUAUCAGUGUGUCUACACAGCAUCACAGCAUGUAUCAGUGUGUCUACACAGCAUCACAGCAUGUAUCAGUGUGUCUACACAGCAUCACAGCAUGUAUCAGUGUGUCUACACAGCAUCACAGCAUGUAUCAGUGUGUCUACACAGCAUCACAGCAUGUAUCACUGUCUACACAGCAUCACAGCAUGUAUCCGUGUGUCUACACAGCAUCACAGCAUGUAUCGGUGUGUCUACACAGCAUCACAGCAUGUAUCAGUGUGUCUACACAGCAUCACAGCAUGUAUCAGUGUGCAUAUGGAAGGUUUUUCUCUAUGUCUGCUGCAAGGUAAAUCUCCUGCAUGGUAACUCUCCUGCAUGGUAA